RNAcentral lists this ribosomal RNA (509 nucleotides) under uncultured bacterium. Its description in RNAcentral is "bacterial SSU rRNA". It matches the Rfam family "Bacterial small subunit ribosomal RNA", at positions 50 to 537 of the family's 1533-position model. The record is from RNAcentral.
UACACAUGCAAGCUCGAACGGCAGCGCGGGAGCAAUCUCUGGCGGCGAGUGCGCGAACGGGUGAGUAACAUAUCGGAACGUGCCCCGGAGUGGGGGAUAACUAGUCGAAAGAUUAGCUAAUACCGCAUACGAUCUACGGAUGAAAGUGGGGGAUUCGCAAGAACCUCAUGCUCGUGGAGCGGCCGAUAUCUGAUUAGCUAGUUGGUAGGGUAAAAGCCUACCAAGGCGACGAUCAGUAGCUGGUUUGAGAGAACGACCAGCCACACUGGGACUGAGACACGGCCCAGACUCCUACGGNNGGCUGCAGUGGGGAAUUUUGGACAAUGGGGGCAACCCUGAUCCAGCAAUGCCGCGUGUGUGAAGAAGGCCUUCGGGUUGUAAAGCACUUUUGUCAGGGAAGAAACGGUGGAGGCUAAUAUCCUUUGCUAAUGACGGUACCUGAAAAAUAAGCACUGGCUAAAUACGUGCCAGCAUCCGCGUUAAUACACUCCGAANUUCAGCACACCUCC